GGCUUCUUGAUCCUAUGUGUUGUAUUGAGUGUUGGUCACUGGUCUUUGGGAAGCUUGGACAGAAGUGGGGCAGCCAUGGAGCUGCUGACUGGGACUGGCCUGUGGCCCGUGGUCAUAGUCACAGUCAUCUUCAUAUUACUGGUGGACAUGUUGCACCGGUGCCAGCGCUGGACUUCUUGCUGCCCACCAGACCCUGUGCCAUGGCCUGUGCUGGGUAACCUGCUGCAGGUGGACCUGGAUAACAUGCCAUAUAACUUGUACAAGCUUCACAACCGCUAUGGUGACGUGUUCAGCCUGCAGAUGGGCUGGAACCACAUGGCCGUGAUCAACGGACUGAAGGUGAUACAGGAAGUGUUGGUGACCUGUGGAGAGGACACUGCUGACCGCCCUGAAAUGCCCAUCUUUCCACACCUAGGCUAUGGGCAAAAAGCUAAAGGCAAAGGCUGUGUGGGGGCAGAGAUGGCAUCAAAGCCAGACAAGGGGGGACAGUGAGCAAAGGAAGGUCAGAUCAUGAUGCAGGUGGUAAUGUAGUUAAGCAUUGCAGCAGAAAGUCACAGAAAUCCAUUGUGGAGCCUCCUGAGCAUGGUGGAGGGUGGUAGAGACAUGUACUGGAGGAAGGGUGAGGUAUGGAGGACACCGACAAAGAAGAGAAAUGAAGGUGGGAGGGGGCACCAAAGCCAGGUGUCCUUGGUUUUACACAGAUGUGUCUGCAGGUGUGGUCCUUGCUCCUUAUGGGCCUGAGUGGAAAGAGCAGAGGUGAUUCUCUGCGUCGACCCUGUGCAACUUCAGCCUGGGCAAGAAAUCACUGGAGCAGUGGGUGAUGGAAGAGGUUGGACACCUCUUUGAUGUCUUCACUGCCCAUGCUGGGAGUCCCCUCAAUCCUUACCCUCUCUUGGACAAAGCCGUGUGCAAUGUGAUUGUGUCUCUCAUUUAUGCCCAUCGCUUCGAGUAUGGAGACCCUGACUUCAUCAAGAUGCUAAAAAGGAGGCUGUAGACAAGAGAUUUGGAAAGAACACAUCUAGAAGUGUCCACCACAGUAAUAGGAGCCUGGAGAUUGACAUACAGCAAAAGGAAGUGAGAAGCUGACCAAGGUCAGGGCUUCUAGAAGCUGAGACCCUGGCCCUCUGCCCACAUGGAACAUCUGUGAGAUUUUCCAGGGUUGGCUGACAAAGUCUUCCCUGGGCAAAAGACAUUUCUCAUAAUGGUGGAUAAGCUGGUGACUGAGCACAAGAGGACCUGGAACUCGGACCAGCCGCCUCGAGACCUGACUGAUGCCUUUAUGGCUGAGAUGGAGAAGGCAAAGGGAAACCCUGAGAGUAGCUUCAAUGAUGCAAAUCUAUGUCUGGUUGUCCUUGACCUGCUGGGUGCUGCAACUGUGACCACCUCAACCACACUGUCCUGGGCCCUGCUGCUUAUGAUCCUGCAUCCGGAUGUGCAGUGUGAGCCUGGCUGGGGCUGUCAAGAAAGGAGGAGGAGGGUAGAGGCAAACUCCUUAAACUUACUUGGGACACUUGUAGAUCCCAGCAUUGAGUUAACCCAGACUGCAGUAAGUAUGGUUGCCUUAUUUCUCCCAUGGACCCAGCCCUUAACAGAGAGGUAGUGGAUGGACAAGGGGCACCCACUGAAGCAUCUUAACUGAUGGGAAAAUGUCCUUCCAGGCCAAGUACAACAGGAAAUCGAUGAGGUCAUUUGGUAUGUGUGGCUUCCAGAGAUGGCAGACCAGGUCUGCAUGCCCUUCACCAAUGCUGUCAUUCAUGAGGUACAGUGCUUACAGUUACUGGGAUAUCAUCCCAAUAACUUUGCCACACAGGACUUCUCGUGACAUUGAAGUGUGGGGCUUUCUUAUCCCUAAGGUAGGUCUGGGUCUCUCCAGUGUCUAGUCAGUGUUGCCAGCUACCCGCUGACUUGAUCUGCCCAGUUAAGAAGGACUAGAUUACAGGCAUUCCAAUUCUCAACUCAAGGGAACCAACAUCCCCUGGGUAAAUAUGGGAAUAGAAACAAGAGCAAUAACUGCUUUAGAAUCCCUACCUAGAAAUGCAGGCAAGGUAAAAUAUGGCAGGAGUGGUUGUAACAGCCACUACCUACAAAUACAGGUCACAGUGUGUACAUCUGUCCCAUCACAUUUCCAUGUCACAGUAUUAAUGAAAUCUGUGAAGCUUCUGUGGUUAGUUUAUAUGACAGCAUCCAGUGUGUGUGUGGUACAGGCUGUGCCUGUGAAUGUCGUGACUAGUAAGGGUCUAGUAAAACUCACCCUGUUCAUGUUCACACAAUGUGCUUCAUGCCAGGGCAUGACUCUCAUCUCCAACCUGUUCCGUGCUGAAGGAUGAGACUGUCUGGGAGAAGCCCCUUCGCUUCCAUCCUGAACACUUCCUGGAUGCCCAGGGCCACUUUGUGAAGCCUGAGGCCUUCAUGCCAUUCUCAGCAGGUGCCUCUAGGGUGCCUUCCUGCCUAUCUUUCCCUAGGGUGCCUUGGAGGGUGGAGCACCAAUCAGGUCCCAGACUGAGCCCUCUUCUACACAUAGGCCACAGAUCAUGCCUGGGGGAGCCCCUGGCCCUCAUGGAGCUCUUCCUCUUCUUCACCUGCCUCCUGCAGCGCUUUAGCUUCUCAAUGCCAGCUGGACAAUCCCUUCCCAGUGAUUAUGGCAUCUAUACAAUGCCAGUUACUCCAGCACCUACCAGCUCUGUGCAGUGGUUUGCUAGCAGGGGCAGUGGCUCCAGCCAUCAUCACAGAUUGUUCUGACUGAUGUCCAAUAAACAAGUUUUGUGUCUGAAUCUCA
This 2776-nucleotide long non-coding RNA is filed under the name Mus musculus (house mouse). Its description in RNAcentral is "novel transcript". Lineage: Eukaryota; Metazoa; Chordata; Mammalia; Rodentia; Muridae. The record is from RNAcentral.